CCUACGGGUGGCAGCAGUAGGGAAUAUUGCUCAAUGGGGGAAACCCUGAUGCAGCAACGCCGCGUGGAGGAUGAAGGUUUUCGGAUUGUAAACUCCUUUUGUUAGAGAAGAUGAUGACGGUAUCUAACGAAUAAGCACCGGCUAACUCCGUGCCAGCAGCCGCGGUAAUACGGAGGGUGCAAGCGUUACUCGGAAUCACUGGGCGUAAAGAGCGCGUAGGCGGGAUAGUAAGUCAGAUGUGAAAUCCUAGGGCUUAACCAUAGAACUGCAUUUGAAACUGUUAUUCUAGAGUAUGGGAGAGGUAGGUAGAAUUCUUGGUGUAGGGGUAAAAUCCGUAGAGAUCAAGAGGAAUACUCAUUGCGAAGGCGACCUGCUAGAACAUAACUGACGCUGAUGCGCGAAAGCGUGGGGAGCAAACAGGAUUAGAUACCCCAGUAGUC
This 440-nucleotide ribosomal RNA is filed under the name uncultured bacterium. RNAcentral describes it as "partial 16S ribosomal RNA". It matches the Rfam family "Bacterial small subunit ribosomal RNA", at positions 338 to 795 of the family's 1533-position model. The record is from RNAcentral.